CAGGAGGAGAGGGAGUCCACCAGGAUGGGGCAGCGUGCCCCACUCAGCAGCCCCGGGAUGGCGGAAAAAGAAAACAGUGAGGCCCUGUCAAUCGCACCAAGGUGGCACUGCCUCGCUGGGGAACAAAGCUGUCCCUGCCCAGGCUCCAAGACUCUGAAAUGGAGGAGGCAGGUGGAGCGACGGGGCCCGGAAGGGCAGGAGACCAGCGUAUUUUUAACCUAUUGAUUUAUAUUUUAUAUGGUCUCGCUGUCCCCAGAGAGGCUCGUGUGGAGCCAGAGCACAACAGCUGGAAGGAGCCUCAAAGUCAGUUUUAUCCAGCACCAUCCAGGAUGAAAUCAUUGCUCCAUCAGCCAGGAUGCAGGCUUCGCUCCAGUGCCUCCAGGGACGGAUGCAGCUCUCACCCUUCCCCAGCACUCGCUCGGGCUGCUGUGGGCUGCUGGGUUUGGAAGCUGGCCCUUGGGGAGGCUGAGCUCAUCUGGGAACUCCUGCUACGUGGGCCAGCACUGCGGCCAAGGAUGCUGACUAAGCAAGGCUGCUUCCUCCCCCACUUCUGGGGUGACUUCCUGCCACCCAUGCCCACCCUUUCACCGGAAACCCCAGCAGACCUAAGCCCUCACACAGGCCAGGACCCUCUUCCCUGGCUCCCCAUGUUCAGCCCUCAGAUCUCAACUUGCAGAACCCCCGAGUAAGCCCUCCUGAUGCCCAUUUCUCAGAUGAAGAAACAGAGAAUGCUGGACAUUUUGCCAAAACCACCCACACAGCAGGCGCAGGAGCUGCCGUGGCUGGGCCUGACACCAAGGGCGCUGGGCCCCUGGGGUGCUCGCCGACGGCUCCUGGAAAUGCAGCCAAGGGCAAGAAUCCUGCGCAGGUGGCCCAGAGCCACCGAAGGGGAGACCGGCAAGGGACGUGAUGCUGCCCAGGAGGGCCGGCUGCACAGGCCACUUCUUCCUGUCACCGGCUCCUGCACCCAUGUCCAGUCCUCCUCUCCCGGGCAGCAGUGCCAGAAACUGUCCUCACUUUGUAGAAAGAUCCACUUACGUGCACAUCCUUCAAUCCCUGUCCCCGAGCCCAAUGUACCCUGUCUGAUUGCUGAGUGAACUGCGGGUCCGGGUGAGUAACACACAGCCUCUUAUGUCCCA
Molecule: RNA transcript, 1139 nt
Organism: Fukomys damarensis (Damara mole-rat)
Lineage: Eukaryota; Metazoa; Chordata; Mammalia; Rodentia; Bathyergidae
Exons: 3
Source: RefSeq, a predicted model, not a curated record